Molecule: ribosomal RNA, 497 nt
Filed under: uncultured bacterium
Lineage: Bacteria
Description: partial 16S ribosomal RNA
Rfam family: Bacterial small subunit ribosomal RNA
Source: RNAcentral
GACGAACGCUGGCGGCGUGCCUAAUACAUGCAAGUUGAGCGAUGAAGAUUGGUGCUUGCACCAAUUUGAAGAGCAGCGAACGGGUGAGUAACGCGUGGGGAAUCUGCCUUUGAGCGGGGGACAACAUUUGGAAACGAAUGCUAAUACCACAUAACAACUCUAAACAUAAGUUUUAAGUUUGAAAGAUGCAAUUGCAUCACUCAAAGAUGAUCCCGCGUUGUAUUAGCUAGUUGGUGAGGUAAAGGCUCACCAAGGCGAUGAUACAUAGCCGACCUGAGAGGGUGAUCGGCCACAUUGGGACUGAGACACGGCCCAAACUCCUACGGGAGGCAGCAGUAGGGAAUCUUCGGCAAUGGACGAAAGUCUGACCGAGCAACGCCGCGUGAGUGAAGAAGGUUUUCGGAUCGUAAAACUCUGUUGGUAGAGAAGAACGUUGGUGAGAGUGGAAAGCUCAUCAAGUGACGGUAACUACCCAGAAAGGGACGGCUAACUACGUG